RNAcentral lists this unclassified non-coding RNA (679 nucleotides) under Hevea brasiliensis (rubber tree). Lineage: Eukaryota; Viridiplantae; Streptophyta; Magnoliopsida; Malpighiales; Euphorbiaceae. The record is from RNAcentral.
GCCAAAGAUUGAAGAGAGAUGAAGCAAAUGACAGAAACCAAGACAGGAAAGCCAUAACAGCUGACAACUGAUAUCUGCUACAGAAGUUUGCACGGCAAUAUGGAGUUCCAACAUCAAGCAGAAGAUCUGUAACGCUUGCUGUUGAGCUCGCUGCUGCUAAUGAUAGAAGUGAUAAAACCAAAUCUCCAAUGAUAAUGGCUGACAGAAUUCUUGGUUGAUGAGGUAAACAUUUAACAAAGACAGAAUAUACAUCCACUAGCACCAGAGUUAUGCUCCAUGGAAUAACAAAACCCAUGACAGUCACCAAAUAGCUGAAAGCAGUAUAACUGUAGAAGUCAAUGCCCAGACACAUGAAGAGAAGAGAAGCAGUUGAGAAAAUAGCCUGACCCAAUCUCAGAGCCAAGCUAGCGCUUGUCCCCAUUGCACCAGGCACCUCUUCCAUCUUCCAGCUCUACUUCUCUGUCUCUUCAUGUCCAAAACUUCAUUCCUCUGCAACUUUUCUCAUCAAUCACAAGAAUGAAAAAGAAACAAAUUAAGGAACAAAAAUAGUUAUCGUUUUGAAAUUGUGGGUACUCGGAAAGAUUCAAGAUUGUUAUUCUAUUGAAGGAAAUUGGAAGGAAAAGCAAAGCCAAAGGAACGCAAUGGUAACGCCCGCGUGGAGAGUUUUCUUCUUCUCUGG